RNAcentral lists this ribosomal RNA (400 nucleotides) under uncultured bacterium. Its description in RNAcentral is "bacterial SSU rRNA". It matches the Rfam family "Bacterial small subunit ribosomal RNA", at positions 28 to 432 of the family's 1533-position model. The record is from RNAcentral.
GACGAACGCUGGCGGCGUGCUUAACACAUGCAAGUCGAGCGGUAAGGCCCUUUCGGGGGUACACGAGCGGCGAACGGGUGAGUAACACGUGGGUGACCUGCCCUUAGCUCUGGGAUAAGCCUGGGAAACUGGGUCUAAUACCGGAUAUGACUCCAUGACGCAUGUUGUGGGGUGGAAAGCCUUGUGCGGCUAGGGAUGGGCCCGCGGCCUAUCAGCUUGUUGGUGGGGUGAUGGCCUACCAAGGCGACGACGGGUAGCCGGCCUGAGAGGGCGACCGGCCACACUGGGACUGAGACACGGCCCAGACUCCUACGGGAGGCAGCAGUGGGGAAUCUUGCGCAAUGGGCGAAAGCCUGACGCAGCGACGCCGCGUGAGGGAUGACGGCCUGGUUGUAACCGU